GACGAACGCUGGCGGCGUGCUUAACACAUGCAAGUCGAACGGAAAGGCCCUGCUUUUGUGGGGUGCUCGAGUGGCGAACGGGUGAGUAACACGUGAGUAACCUGCCCUUGACUUUCGGAUAACUUCAGGAAACUGGGGCUAAUACCGGCUAGGAGCUCCUGCUGCAUGGUGGGGGUUGGAAAGCUUCGGCGGUUGGGGAUGGACUCGCGGCUUAUCAGCUUGUUGGUGGGGUAGUGGCUUACCAAGGCUUUGACGGGUAGCCGGCCUGAGAGGGUGACCAGCGACAUUGGGACAGAGACACGACCAAGACUCCUACGGGAGGCAGCAGUAGGGAGUAUUGCACAUUGGGCGGAAGCCUGAUGCAGCAACGCCGCGUGCGGGAUAACUGCCUUCGGGUUGUAAACCGAUUUCGGCUGUGACGAAGCGUGAUUGAGGGUAAUAGGUAAAGAAGCACCGGCUGACUACGUG
RNAcentral lists this ribosomal RNA (468 nucleotides) under uncultured bacterium. RNAcentral describes it as "partial 16S ribosomal RNA". It matches the Rfam family "Bacterial small subunit ribosomal RNA", at positions 28 to 507 of the family's 1533-position model. The record is from RNAcentral.